AACAGGGGAUGCACAACCUAAAACACUGUAUCCGUGUAAAGAGUGUUUGUCAUUCAGCAGGAUAACAUCCAUUGUGAGGUUGUGCCUUUGGCAACAAACAGUAGAGAUAGACACACCACCGUCGGUAUUUCUGGAUGCAGAAGAAUUUCGAGAUUCUUUGGGUGCGGCAAUAAGGAGUCCGCGAGUGCUCGACCCAAGAAGGAUCGCUCUCACGGGAAGGUGAUUCUCUGACUUUUAUCAUUUAUGGGGGAAUAGAAUAGUAACAAGAUCAUGUCGUUGGUGAAACAUGUACAUCAUGAUCCCGCCACCCAAGCUGAUCUCACACAACAGAAUACAAGUGGAACCUAAUUGGCCUAGAUCUCAGAUCUCGCUUUCUACAAGUCGUCCAGGCUACAUAUAUUCAAGCGGACGGCUAUAUUCCACAGGCGGCCGAGCGGACAGAAUGCAACACCCAUGAAUGGCACACGAUUGAUGUUAGGUGACGCGGAAUACAAAAAUGACACCACUGUGCAAUUGCAUAUUCGGAACUCUACAUAUCGCCUGGGCCUCGAGGGUAAGAAGAGAGGGACACACGUUGGAUGUUUGUUAAGAUUUGGGUUAUCCUUCGGCCAUAGGACCCCACCGGGGCUCCGGUGACGCCUGGGACGGCAAUGGCUGUGUUUUUCUGCCAUUGUUUAUCUCGUAAUCCUGAAGAAACUGGCGGCAGCCGAUUGUCACUUCUCCAGUCCGGCUGUGCUCUCCGACUUGUGUACCUUUUCUCCAGGAUAGCGUCAUUCGGCAGCUGUGUCAAAGACGGCAUAUCUUAUCUCGUAGCCAGGCUUUUAUCCAUGGGAUUCUUGCGCAGCGGAGGAGCCAAAUGGCACAACUUGCGGAAACUAUUCCGAUGCUUUCCGUUGCGUCCGUUUGGCGUUCGUUUGGCUUGGUGGUUCCUGUGCCACAUGGUUCUAUUUCUCUCCACAGCAUUUCUCUAGAAUGCGUGGUCCCGUUGGGAAUACUGCUUGUUUGGCCUGGCGCUUACAGCAUCUACAGCCUAGCCGAACUUAUCAAAUAUGAUCCUCUAAAACGUGUACGAAGAGUGUCCUUUAUCUAUCCUUUAUAUGCCCGUUCGUGCAGCUACAUUUCUUAUUUUUCCUCUCAUAUGUAUGAUCACCUAUAUGUUAUUGAUGAAGAUAAAGAGAAAAAAAUGAAUAUAAAAAAAGAAAAGGUGAUCCGGAAUAGGGUCGUGUCGUACGUGGCGGAUCGACUGGGCGCGUCCGGGCACAUCCGCUAGUCCCCAUAUUCUUCCUAUAUUUGUCCUCAAUAUGAGAGUUUGCACAGUCCGGUCGUAUAAGGAUGAUAUGAGGGGUCCGGUUGGAUCACUUUUGCCCCUCUCUCAUGUCCGCUCAUUAACAGGACGCGCUCGUGGACGCAUGAGAGGUCGUUUGAGGCGUCCGGUUGUAGAUGCUCUCAGCCAAACUCCAAUUUAUUUUCUUGGUGGAACUAUCCAUUGUGACUUGCGACUAAAUGUGCGCAUGGGCAAUCCGGCCAAAAAACUCGGCCUCGGUCGGGUCUGGCUUAGACUCCGGGCCGGGCUUGGGCCUAAAUUACACACAAUACGACAUUUUCGGGCCGGGCGCGGGCUUUGAAUUCUAGCCCGAAAUUAACCCGCCCCGGGCCGACUAUGUGUGAAAUGGGGAGGUAGGACGACAUCCAGCAGCCCACCACAAUGAUCUACGAGUCUUCCCUCCCCUCCAGAGCCCCCCCCCCCCUCGGCACGAAGAAUGGGAUAAGUUAGACACCGUUGAUAGUCUUUUGAAAACUUUCUACAAUGUCACAUUGAUUUUUAUCUCACAAAAUGUCCCACUUCCAUCUGUACUUCAAGUGUGUUUUCAUGGUGCAUACACGCUUGUUGGAGGCAUGUGUUGUUGGGAAGGAGUUCAUGGCUCCCAUGUUUGAUAUGAAAGAGAAGUUUGGUAAGUAUUGGUUUGAUUAUAAUGUGUUCAUAUCUUGUGAUGUUGUUGUAAGAGCACAAUUUAUCCCAAGUAGUUUUGGUGGUUGAUGACGAUACCCCUUGUGGACUAAUCGUGUGCAUUAAGCUUUCAGAGAAUUAUCAGGUGACACAAGACGGUUAUUUCCCCCUCAGUGAGUGAAAGUGAAGACGAUGCUUAGCUAUCGAUUUAGGGUUGGUGGGCUUGCGUCAUAGGUAAUCCCGUACUAUCAAGAGGGGAUCCACGUUUGGAAAGGUUGGGUGGAACAAACUCUCACACACUUGCACCCCAUCUGUUUCCUGUGCAACACAACUUUCCUAAAAGUGCCCAGAAGUAGCAUAAGCGAAAGUACCGCUCUAUGGAGCGGUAGUACCACUCUAGCGGUAUUGUCGUCCACUAGUGUCAGUCCCUCUUCCACUUAUUAUUUUCUUCUGGCAUCCGAGGGAGCUUUUUUAAUUUUCGAGCGGAAGUACCACUCUAGGGGAGCGGUAGUACCGCUCCAACGGCACUGCCUCCCUCCCCUACUGUUCCCACUCCCGCUUAAAUAUUUCUUCUGGCUUCCUUAUUCCCCUUCGACAAAACUAUGAGGAAGUACCGCUUUGGGGGGAGCGGUACUACAGCUCUGGCGGCACUGCCUCCCUCCCCUACCGUUCCCACUUCCGCUUAAAUAUUUCUUCUGGCUUCCUUAUUCCCCUUCGACAAAACUACGAGGAAGUACCGCUUUGGGGGGAGCGGUAGUACCACUCUGGCGGAACUACCGCCCCUCUGGCUGUGACAUGUCGCGUGUGUUGGACGGUACUUCCGUGCAAGCGGAAGUACCACCCACCUGGACAGUACUACCGCUUAGUUGAGCUAGUGGGCUGAAUAACGGUCAGUCCACAUAAAACCCCUUCCCUUGAUACUGAUGCAUACUUAGCAUAGUUCUAAUGUCAGUCUUGCGAGUACUUUGGAUGAGUACUCACCGUUGCUUUGCUCCCCCUUUUCCCCUUGAUACAUUACUGCGACCAGGUGAUGGAGCCCAGGACAUGGCGUAUUCCGCCGACGAUUAGUGCUAGCCCGACGGUGCCUACUACUACGUGAAGGCCGCUGACGACCAGGAGUAAUUAGGUGGUUCCCAGGCAGGAGGCCUCACCUCGUUCGAUCGUUGUAUCUUUGUGCUAGCCUUCUCUAAGGCACCUCAUGUUUUAUGUCUAUACUCAGAUAUUUGUUGCUUCCGCUGACUCGUAUGUUUACCGAGCUUCCGUAUUCUAGCCCUCGAGGCCCG
This 3231-nucleotide long non-coding RNA is filed under the name Hordeum vulgare. RNAcentral's name for it is "long non-coding RNA (HVUL_LNC016155)". The record is from RNAcentral. Lineage: Eukaryota; Viridiplantae; Streptophyta; Magnoliopsida; Poales; Poaceae.